GUGCCAGCCCUACUGGUCUAAGGCCACAGAGUGAUAAAAAUACUCGUAAAAAAUAGAGGAACCCUGAUUUUGUGAUGUAAGCAUAUAUAGAUGCAUGAUUUGCACCCAACAUAAGAUUUUCACUAAUAAGGACUGAUCUUUGGCGCUUUGUUUGCAACAGGUACUUAUAUGAUAUUUUGACCAAGGCUAGUGUGGUGAGGAAGAAAAUUCCAGUUCUUAUUCUCUGCAACAAGACAGACAAAGUGACAGCACAUAGCAAGGAAUUUAUUCGAAAACAGUUGGAGAAGGAAAUUGACAAAUUACGAGCAUCAAGAAGUGCAAUAUCAGCAGCUGAUAUUGCAAAUGACUUUACACUUGGAGUACCUGGCGAACCAUUUUCAUUCCAUCAGUGCCAGAACAAAGUUACAGUUGCAGAAGCUUCUGGUCUAACGGGUGACAUAUCUCAGGUGGAGCAAUUUAUCAGGGACCAUGUGAAGUCUUAGUAUGUUUCCUCCCAUUUCAUGAGUGUGGUAUUUUUGCUUUGAGAAUUGUCGGUUGAACAUCGUUUGUUGAUGAUUGAGAAAACUCAACAAAGAUAUGCUCAGAACCAAUUGAACUGUUCAAGGAAAGGGGAGGAAUUAAAAUAGAGGAAGAGAAAGCAAGGCACAGAUACGCUAAUGCAUGUUUCUGUUGUGGUCUCAGUGAGUACUUGAGACAUGUUAUGGUACAAACUGCUAAUUAUGGUGGCUUUGUUGUAAUUUAAAGGAUCUUCCAAGAGAUUAUGGCUCAAGUUGUAUUAAUUUGAUUUUUGUGCUCUUGAUUGUGUUUGCACUCUAGGAUGCCCCCAGUUAUGGUCAGCCCUAAAUAUGUACUCAUCGACUUGCCCUCCACACAAAUGUUUAAUUCCGCAGUAAAAUGUGAAAAAGUCAUCCCUGUUUAGUUUGA
Molecule: long non-coding RNA, 924 nt
Organism: Prunus dulcis (almond)
Lineage: Eukaryota; Viridiplantae; Streptophyta; Magnoliopsida; Rosales; Rosaceae
Exons: 2
Source: RefSeq, a predicted model, not a curated record